CCUACGGGGGGCAGCAGUGGGGAAUUUUGGACAAUGGGGGCAACCCUGAUCCAGCAAUGCCGCGUGUGUGAAGAAGGCCUUCGGGUUGUAAAGCACUUUUGUCCGGAAAGAAAUCGCGCUGGUUAAUACCUGGCGUGGAUGACGGUACCGGAAGAAUAAGCACCGGCUAACUACGUGCCAGCAGCCGCGGUAAU
Molecule: ribosomal RNA, 194 nt
Filed under: uncultured bacterium
Lineage: Bacteria
Description: partial 16S ribosomal RNA
Rfam family: Bacterial small subunit ribosomal RNA
Source: RNAcentral